UACGGAGGGUGCAAGCGUUAAUCGGAAUUACUGGGCGUAAAGCGUGCGUAGGCGGUUCGUUAAGUCUGUUGUGAAAGCCCCGGGCUCAACCUGGGAAUGGCAAUGGAUACUGGCGAGCUAGAGUGUGUCAGAGGAUGGUGGAAUUCCCGGUGUAGCGGUGAAAUGCGUAGAGAUCGGGAGGAACAUCAGUGGCGAAGGCGGCCAUCUGGGACACACUGACGCUGAGGCACGAAAGCGUGGGGAGCAAACAGG
This 252-nucleotide ribosomal RNA is filed under the name uncultured bacterium. Its description in RNAcentral is "partial 16S ribosomal RNA". It matches the Rfam family "Bacterial small subunit ribosomal RNA", at positions 524 to 776 of the family's 1533-position model. The record is from RNAcentral.